UACGGAGGAUCCAAGCGUUAUCCGGAAUCAUUGGGCGUAAAGGGCGCGUAGGCGGUUUUGUUUGUCCGCUGUGAAAGUCCACGGCUCACCCGUGGAGAGUCGGUGGAAACGGCAAGACUUGAGGCUGGGAGGGGUUGGUGGAAUUCCCUGUGUAGCGGUGAAAUGCGUAGAUACGGGGGAGAACACUCGUGGCGAAGGCGGCCAGCUGGCCCAGUCCUGACGCUGAGGCGCGACAGCGUGGGGAGCAAACAGG
Molecule: ribosomal RNA, 253 nt
Filed under: uncultured bacterium
Lineage: Bacteria
Description: partial 16S ribosomal RNA
Rfam family: Bacterial small subunit ribosomal RNA
Source: RNAcentral